CGUGUAGGCGGUCUGCUAAGUCUGAUGUGAAAGCCCGGGGCUCACCCCCGGAAGGGCAUUGGAAACUGGCGGACUCGAGUCCCGGAGAGGAGGGUGGAAUUCCUGGUGUAGCGGUGAAAUGCGUAGAUAUCAGGAGGAACACCGGUGGCGAAGGCGGCCCUCUGGACGGUGACUGACGCUGAGACGCGAAAGCGUGGGGAGCAAACAG
Molecule: ribosomal RNA, 208 nt
Filed under: uncultured bacterium
Lineage: Bacteria
Description: partial 16S ribosomal RNA
Rfam family: Bacterial small subunit ribosomal RNA
Source: RNAcentral